This 501-nucleotide ribosomal RNA is filed under the name Limosilactobacillus fermentum. RNAcentral describes it as "bacterial SSU rRNA". It matches the Rfam family "Bacterial small subunit ribosomal RNA", at positions 32 to 489 of the family's 1533-position model. Lineage: Bacteria; Bacillati; Bacillota; Bacilli; Lactobacillales; Lactobacillaceae. The record is from RNAcentral.
AACGCUGGCGGUGUGCCUAAUACAUGCAAGUCGAACGCGUUGGCCCAAUUGAUUGAUGGUGCUUGCACCUGAUUGAUUUUGGUCGCCAACGAGUGGCGGACGGGUGAGUAACACGUAGGUAACCUGCCCAGAAGCGGGGGACAACAUUUGGAAACAGAUGCUAAUACCGCAUAACAACGUUGUUCGCAUGAACAACGCUUAAAAGAUGGCUUCUCGCUAUCACUUCUGGAUGGACCUGCGGUGCAUUAGCUUGUUGGUGGGGUAACGGCCUACCAAGGCGAUGAUGCAUAGCCGAGUUGAGAGACUGAUCGGCCACAAUGGGACUGAGACACGGCCCAUACUCCUACGGGAGGCAGCAGUAGGGAAUCUUCCACAAUGGGCGCAAGCCUGAUGGAGCAACACCGCGUGAGUGAAGAAGGCUUUCGGCUCGUAAAGCUCUGUUGUUAAAGAAGAACACGUAUGAGAGUAACUGUUCAUACGUUGACGGUAUUUAACCAGAAA